CGAACGGGGAGCAGCCCAGAGCCUGAAUCAGCAUGUGUGUUAGUGGAAGCGUCUGGAAAGGCGCGCGAUACAGGGUGACAGCCCCGUACACAAAAAUGCACAUACUGUGAGCUCGAUGAGUAGGGCGGGACACGUGGUAUCCUGUCUGAAUAUGGGGGGACCAUCCUCCAAGGCUAAAUACUCCUGACUGACCGAUAGUGAACCAGUACCGUGAGGGAAAGGCGAAAAGAACCCCGGCGAGGGGAGUGAAAAAGAACCUGAAACCGUGUACGUACAAGCAGUGGGAGCACGCUUAGGCGUGUGACUGCGUACCUUUUGUAUAAUGGGUCAGCGACUUAUAUUCUGUAGCAAGGUUAACCGAAUAGGGGAGCCGAAGGGAAACCGAGUCUUAACUGGGCGUUAAGUUGCAGGGUAUAGACCCGAAACCCGGUGAUCUAGCCAUGGGCAGGUUGAAGGUUGGGUAACACUAACUGGAGGACCGAACCGACUAAUGUUGAAAAAUUAGCGGAUGACUUGUGGCUGGGGGUGAAAGGCCAAUCAAACCGGGAGAUAGCUGGUUCUCCCCGAAAGCUAUUUAGGUAGCGCCUCGUGAAUUCAUCUCCGGGGGUAGAGCACUGUUUCGGCAAGGGGGUCAUCCCGACUUACCAACCCGAUGCAAACUGCGAAUACCGGAGAAUGUUAUCACGGGAGACACACGGCGGGUGCUAACGUCCGUCGUGAAGAGGGAAACAACCCAGACCGCCAGCUAAGGUCCCAAAGUCAUGGUUAAGUGGGAAACGAUGUGGGAAGGCCCAGACAGCCAGGAUGUUGGCUUAGAAGCAGCCAUCAUUUAAAGAAAGCGUAAUAGCUCACUGGUCGAGUCGGCCUGCGCGGAAGAUGUAACGGGGCUAAACCAUG
This 897-nucleotide ribosomal RNA is filed under the name Escherichia coli. RNAcentral's name for it is "partial 23S ribosomal RNA". It matches the Rfam family "Bacterial large subunit ribosomal RNA", at positions 254 to 1191 of the family's 2925-position model. Lineage: Bacteria; Pseudomonadati; Pseudomonadota; Gammaproteobacteria; Enterobacterales; Enterobacteriaceae. The record is from RNAcentral.